RNAcentral lists this ribosomal RNA (537 nucleotides) under uncultured Acidobacteriota bacterium. RNAcentral describes it as "bacterial SSU rRNA". It matches the Rfam family "Bacterial small subunit ribosomal RNA", at positions 13 to 529 of the family's 1533-position model. Lineage: Bacteria; Pseudomonadati; Acidobacteriota. The record is from RNAcentral.
UUGAUCCUGGCUCAGAAUCAACGCUGGCGGCGUGCCUAACACAUGCAAGUCGAACGCGAAAGUCCCGCAAGGGAUGAGUAGAGUGGCAAACGGGUGAGUUACACGUGGGUGACCUGCCUUCGAGUGGGGGAUAACGUCCCGAAAGGGACUCUAAUACCGCAUAACAUCCUGCCUUUGAAGAGGUGGAGAUCAAAGCUGGUGAUCGCAAGACCUAGCGCUGGAAGAGGGGCCCGCGUCUGAUUAGCUAGUUGGUGGGGUAAUGGCUCACCAAGGCAACGAUCAGUAUCCGGCCUGAGAGGUCGGACGGACACACUGGGACUGAGACACGGCCCAGACUCCUACGGGAGGCUGCAGUGGGGAAUUGUUCGCAAUGGGCGCAAGCCUGACGACGCAACGCCGUGUGGAGGAUGAAGACCUUCGGGUCGUAAACUCCUUUCGAUCGAGACGAAUGGCUCCCGGACGAAUAAUUCGGGAGGGUGACGGUACCGAGAGAAGAAGCUCCGGCUAACUCCGUGCCAGCAGCCGCGGUAAUAAGGU